RNAcentral lists this ribosomal RNA (459 nucleotides) under uncultured bacterium. RNAcentral's name for it is "bacterial SSU rRNA". It matches the Rfam family "Bacterial small subunit ribosomal RNA", at positions 923 to 1379 of the family's 1533-position model. The record is from RNAcentral.
GCACAAGCGGUGGAGCAUGUGGUUCAAUUCGACGCAACGCGAAGAACCUUACCAGCCCUUGACAUGGGACUCGCCGGGAGCAGAGACGCUCCCUUCGGUUCGGCCGGAGUCCGCACAGGUGCUGCAUGGCUGUCGUCAGCUCGUGUCGUGAGAUGUUGGGUUAAGUCCCGCAACGAGCGCAACCCUCGUCUCCAGUUGCCAUCAGGUUAAGCUGGGCACUUUGGAGAAACUGCCGGUGACAAGCCGGAGGAAGGUGGGGAUGACGUCAAGUCCUCAUGGCCCUUACGGGCUGGGCUACACACGUGCUACAAUGGCGGUGACAAUGGGAUGCGAUGGCGCGAGCCGGAGCCGAUCCUAAAAAGCCGUCUCAGUUCGGAUUGCACUCUGCAACUCGAGUGCAUGAAGUUGGAAUCGCUAGUAAUCGAGGAUCAGCAUGCCUCGGUGAAUACGUUCCCGGGC